UUAGUAAAUCGAUCUGAUGCCACUGGGGCUCCGUCUCUCGCCCUGUCGCCAUUGCGCCAAAGUGAACAGAUUCCUCUCCAAGGCAUAGAUCUCUGCUCGAAGGAGCUGGACGAAGAGAAAAAAGCCCAGGCCCAAGAGGGAGGAGGAGGAGGGAGACGAGAAAGUGGCGCUCUGGGGGCGGGAGGAGGCGUGGAGAUGCUCGGCAACCGCCGCUAAGCUGACCCGCCCGAGGGCCAAGGAGCAACUCGACCCGGCAGAUGCUUGCCUAACACCUGUUUGCAAAACCCCUGGAGAUCAGGAUUGUACCACCACCCUUAAAAACUUAACCCAGCCAACCUGCCAGAAACCCACCAAGCACAGAAGAGACCCAGUCACCUAACAAAUACAUGUUGGUAG
Long non-coding RNA from Lacerta agilis (Sand lizard), 396 nucleotides. RefSeq lists it as uncharacterized. The transcript has 3 exons. NCBI's taxonomy places the organism in Eukaryota, Metazoa, Chordata, Lepidosauria, Squamata, Lacertidae. The record is from RefSeq and is a predicted model, not a curated record.